GGAUUAGAUUCGUAGUGACCUGCGGAGGAUCAUUAUCGAGUUUUGACCGGGUUGUAGCUGGCCUUCCGAGGCAUGUGCACGCCCUGCUCAUCCACUCUACACCUGUGCACUUACUGUGGGCUUCAGAUUGCGAGGCACGCUCUUUACCGGGCUUGCGGAGCAUAUCUGUGCCUGCGUUUAUCACAAACUCUAUAAAGUAACAGAAUGUGUAUUGCGAUGUAACACAUCUAUAUACAACUUUCAGCAACGGAUCUCUUGGCUCUCGCAUCGAUGAAGAACGCAGCGAAAUGCGAUAAGUAAUGUGAAUUGCAGAAUUCAGUGAAUCAUCGAAUCUUUGAACGCACCUUGCGCUCCUUGGUAUUCCGAGGAGCAUGCCUGUUUGAGUGUCAUGAAAUCUUCAACCUACAAGCUUUUGUGGUUUGUAGGCUUGGACUUGGAGGCUUGUCGGCCGUUAUCGGUCGGCUCCUCUUAAAUGCAUUAGCUUGGUUCCUUGUGGAUCGGCUCUCGGUGUGAUAAUGUCUACGCCGCGACCGUGAAGCGUUUGGCGAGCUUCUAACCGUCUUAUAAGACAGCUUUAUGACCUCUGACCUCAAAUCAGGUAGGACUACCCGCUGAACUUAAGCAUAUCAAUAAGCGGAGGAAAAGAAACUAACAAGGAUUCCCCUAGUAACUGCGAGUGAAGCGGGAAAAGCUCAAAUUUAAAAUCUGGCGGUCUUUGGCCGUCCGAGUUGUAGUCUGGAGAAGUGCUUUCCGCGCUGGACGUCAAAUUUUCUCUCUCGUAGAAGA
Molecule: ribosomal RNA, 786 nt
Filed under: Ganoderma lingzhi
Lineage: Eukaryota; Fungi; Basidiomycota; Agaricomycetes; Polyporales; Polyporaceae
Description: eukaryotic LSU rRNA
Rfam family: 5.8S ribosomal RNA (bases 236-389)
Source: RNAcentral